This 718-nucleotide ribosomal RNA is filed under the name uncultured Staphylococcus sp. RNAcentral's name for it is "bacterial SSU rRNA". It matches the Rfam family "Bacterial small subunit ribosomal RNA", at positions 54 to 754 of the family's 1533-position model. The record is from RNAcentral. Lineage: Bacteria; Bacillati; Bacillota; Bacilli; Caryophanales; Staphylococcaceae.
CAUGCAAGUCGAGCGAACGGACGAGAAGCUUGCUUCUCUGAUGUUAGCGGCGGACGGGUGAGUAACACGUGGAUAACCUACCUAUAAGACUGGGAUAACUUCGGGAAACCGGAGCUAAUACCGGAUAAUAUUUUGAACCGCAUGGUUCAAAAGUGAAAGACGGUCUUGCUGUCACUUAUAGAUGGAUCCGCGCUGCAUUAGCUAGUUGGUAAGGUAACGGCUUACCAAGGCAACGAUGCAUAGCCGACCUGAGAGGGUGAUCGGCCACACUGGAACUGAGACACGGUCCAGACUCCUACGGGAGGCAGCAGUAGGGAAUCUUCCGCAAUGGGCGAAAGCCUGACGGAGCAACGCCGCGUGAGUGAUGAAGGUCUUCGGAUCGUAAAACUCUGUUAUUAGGGAAGAACAUAUGUGUAAGUAACUGUGCACAUCUUGACGGUACCUAAUCAGAAAGCCACGGCUAACUACGUGCCAGCAGCCGCGGUAAUACGUAGGUGGCAAGCGUUAUCCGGAAUUAUUGGGCGUAAAGCGCGCGUAGGCGGUUUUUUAAGUCUGAUGUGAAAGCCCACGGCUCAACCGUGGAGGGUCAUUGGAAACUGGAAUACUUGAGUGCAGAAGAGGAAAGUGGAAUUCCAUGUGUAGCGGUGAUAUGCGCAGAGAUAUGGAGGUACACCAGUGGCGAAGGCGACUUUCUGGUCUGUAACUGACGCUGAUGUGC